RNAcentral lists this microRNA precursor (112 nucleotides) under Branchiostoma floridae (Florida lancelet). RNAcentral describes it as "mir-2060 microRNA precursor family". It matches the Rfam family "mir-2060 microRNA precursor family". The record is from Rfam by way of RNAcentral. Lineage: Eukaryota; Metazoa; Chordata; Leptocardii; Amphioxiformes; Branchiostomatidae.
GUGCAUAUGUCUGUGGAGGGUGUUCAGCACCAAGGACAGUUAUGUUUGCCUGUGUGUGUGUGUGCAUAUGUCUGUGGAGGGUGUUCAGCACCAAGGACAGGUACGUUUGCCU